RNAcentral lists this long non-coding RNA (218 nucleotides) under Gossypium barbadense (sea-island cotton). RNAcentral's name for it is "long non-coding RNA (GBAR_LNC008423)". Lineage: Eukaryota; Viridiplantae; Streptophyta; Magnoliopsida; Malvales; Malvaceae. The record is from RNAcentral.
GCCUACGUAAAUUUAAAAAAACAGGUUCGGGAGCCGGUUAUGUAUGAGGAAGGAUUAGCACCCUCACUACGGUCAAAAUUGGUACCAAUUUGAUUAAGUACUGUCAUUAUGUCUAAGAUUUAAAAAGACUUUGAAAUAUGGUUCCAUUUAAAACAUUUGAGUGGCUCAACUUAGUCGUCAAAAUUCUCUCGUUUCAAAGGAAUACAGCAUCACAUCCA